Molecule: long non-coding RNA, 1461 nt
Organism: Ruditapes philippinarum (Manila clam)
Lineage: Eukaryota; Metazoa; Mollusca; Bivalvia; Venerida; Veneridae
Exons: 2
Source: RefSeq, a predicted model, not a curated record
ACUAAAGGUCGAGUACAUUUAGACUGUCAAAAAUAUUAUAUAUUUACCGAUAUGUGCCGUGCGAGUCAUUUGGGAUAAUCUGUCGAUGCUUACAUAUUACAAUAAAUAGUAAUGUAUUUCACUAAAGUAUUCAUCUUCUGUGGACUCUAUCUCUGUGCGUGGACGCAUGAUAACAAAACUGUGGAUGAGAAUCCUUCCGUAGACGACACAAUAAAUAAGCUAUUAGACCAUGCUAAAUAUGAUCUUCAAGAUGCAUGAAUUUCGAUGCUACUGAAAGAACUCAAAGAUGCCAGAGCUUUCGAAAAGAAUGGUGAGCACGUGUCUACCCCUCUUGAAAUAACAAGCAUCUACACACGUUGGUGACGCAAGACGUGUCCUGCUGGUGCAUCCAUAGUUUAUGAAGGGUUUGCAGCUGGGGGAAUGUACACUGCUCCUGGGGCACCUGUAAAUUAUUUAUGUCUUCCAAAAAGUCCAGGCUGGGAUAAUCAGAUAAACAACCCAAAGCACAGUGGCCUGAUAUAUGGAGCAGAAUAUAAAAGCCACGAAAGCAUGUUUAAAGGACUUACCGACCAUGAUGUUCCCUGCGCAGUUUGUCAAGUCCCCAGAAGCAGUGUUGUGAUGGUACCCGGGAAAAAUACCUGUUUCAAAAACUUUGUUAAAGAAUACAACGGUUAUCUUAUGGCUGGAUAUCCUACCCAUAAUGCAGCUUCCGAAUAUGUUUGUGUUGAUGGUGAAGCUGAACCAGCCAGCCAAUCUCUUGUUCAAAAUCACAAUGGAAAAUUGUUUUACUUUGUUCGAGCUAAAUGUGGCUCACUGAAAUGUCCUCCAUAUAAAGAAGGUGACGACCUUACAUGUGUUGUGUGUUCUUAUUCACCUUGACAGUUUUUUGUUUUGUUUUUUGUUCUUAAUAUUUCUGAUUUUUGUUUAAGGUAGACCACUGCUAAUGCAUUACCUCCACUUUGAAGGGUAUUAUAAUAGGCUAGAAUCACUUAUCAACUGCAUUGAAACUGCAUUGAAACUUAUUUAUUUAUUUAUUUAUUUAUUUAUUUAUAUGUCCCUCUCAGAUCCCUUACGUAAGAAAAGGUGAUUGUUUUAAAUUACAUAAUUAUUGUAGGUAUUUAUUAACUAUAUAAUGCCAAAUUUAAAAGCAAAUUAUAAAAAAGGAUACCGUUUAUUUUCAAAGUUUAAUAGCAACUACAUGGUUAAAGAAUUUUGUUUUGCAAGACCAACCAAAAUACAUUUUAAGAAAAUUAAGCAAAACUUAGAAACAGCCCCUCGUUUUUGUAAAUGUUAGGGAUAUUUUGAAUGAGGCUUUUUAUAUAGUAAAUGGUCAAAUAAGUUUUUAAAGUGGAUGGGAUAGGGUACCAUUUAUACAUUCUAAAAACAUUUUGUUGAGAAACAAUUGUUUUGCUGUUGUAAUUCGUUGCCUGGAUGUUAUUAUUCUUUCUAAACAAUGAGCAA